Molecule: unclassified non-coding RNA, 253 nt
Filed under: uncultured Idiomarinaceae bacterium
Lineage: Bacteria; Pseudomonadati; Pseudomonadota; Gammaproteobacteria; Alteromonadales; Idiomarinaceae
Description: contains 16S-23S intergenic spacer region
Rfam family: Bacterial small subunit ribosomal RNA
Source: RNAcentral
UACGGAGGGUGCGAGCGUUAAUCGGAUUUACUGGGCGUAAAGCGCACGUAGGCGGCUUGUUAAGCCAGAUGUGAAAGCCCAGGGCUUAACCUUGGAAUUGCAUUUUGUACUGGCAAGCUAGAGUAUUGGAGAGGGUGGUAGAAUUUCCAGUGUAGCGGUGAAAUGCGUAGAUAUUGGAAGGAAUACCAGUGGCGAAGGCGGCCACCUGGUCAAAAACUGACGCUGAGGAGCGAAAGCGUGGGGAGCAAACAGG